This 419-nucleotide ribosomal RNA is filed under the name uncultured archaeon. Its description in RNAcentral is "partial 16S ribosomal RNA". It matches the Rfam family "Archaeal small subunit ribosomal RNA", at positions 323 to 746 of the family's 1478-position model. The record is from RNAcentral.
CUACGGGCUGCAGCAGUUAGGUAUAAUCUACAAUGCACGAAAGUGUGAUAGUUUGAAUCAGAGUGCUUUGCUUUGCAAAGCUUUUGUGAAAUGUAAAAAGUUUCACGAAUAAGGACUGGGUAAGACUAGUGCCAGCCGCCGCGGUAAUACUAGCGGUCCAAGUCGCAGCCAUUUUUAUUGGGUCUAAAACAUCCGUAGCUUGCUUUGUAAGUUCCUUGUGAAAUCCUAUAUCUCAAAUAUAGGGCGGGCAAGGAGUACUGCUAAGCUAGAGACUGGGAGACGUAACGAGUACGUUUGAGGUAGCGGUAAAAUGUGUUAAUCUCAGACGGACUAACAAUAGCGAAGGCACGUUACGAGAACAGUUCUGACAGUAAGGGAUGAAGGCCAGGGGCGCAAAACGGAUUAGAUACCCUCGAGUC